RNAcentral lists this ribosomal RNA (253 nucleotides) under uncultured bacterium. Its description in RNAcentral is "partial 16S ribosomal RNA". It matches the Rfam family "Archaeal small subunit ribosomal RNA", at positions 474 to 727 of the family's 1478-position model. The record is from RNAcentral.
UACCAGCACCCCGAGUGGUCGGGACGAUUAUUGGGCCUAAAGCAUCCGUAGCCGGUUCUACAAGUCUUCCGUUAAAUCCACCUGCUCAACAGAUGGGCUGCGGAGGAUACUAUAGAGCUAGGAGGCGGGAGAGGCAAGCGGUACUUAGUGGGUAGGGGUAAAAUCCGUUGAUCCAUUGAAGACCACCAGUGGCGAAGGCGGCUUGCCAGAACGCACUCGACGGUGAGGGAUGAAAGCUGGGGGAGCAAACGGG